This 533-nucleotide long non-coding RNA is filed under the name Jatropha curcas. Its description in RNAcentral is "long non-coding RNA (JCUR_LNC000405)". Lineage: Eukaryota; Viridiplantae; Streptophyta; Magnoliopsida; Malpighiales; Euphorbiaceae. The record is from RNAcentral.
CUGUUGGUGGUGCUGGUGGACUCGGUCCCAACGGAGAUGGAGCUGGAGCCUUCAACUUCUUUUUGCUUGGAGCGGGAGCUGGAACCAGAGCAGGAGGAGCGGCGAGAGGAGCUGGUGGUGGAACAGCUGGAGGAGGAGUUGCUGGUGGUGGAGUAGCUGGAGGAGGAGUUGCUGGAGGAGGAGAAGCAGGAGGUGGAGUGGCAGGAGGAGGAGAGGCUGGUGGUGGAGUAGCUGGAGGAGGAGAGACUGGUGGUGGAGUGGCGGGAGGAGGAGUGGCAGGAGGUGGAGUUGCAGGAGGAGGAGUAGCCGGUGGUGGAGUUGAAACUGGAGGAGGAGUAGCCGGAGGUGGAGAUUGAGUUACUGGAGGAGGAGCUGAAACCGGAGGAGGAGUAGUGGUUGGAGUUGGCGGAGCAGGAGUAGUUGUCGGAGAUUGGCCAGAAACACCAGCAAUAACAAUGCAGAUCAAAGAAACAAAGAUUUUAACCUUUUGAUGCCUCAUUGUAGUUGAACUCUCUCUUUCUCUCUCAAACUGC